Molecule: ribosomal RNA, 387 nt
Filed under: uncultured bacterium
Lineage: Bacteria
Description: bacterial SSU rRNA
Rfam family: Bacterial small subunit ribosomal RNA
Source: RNAcentral
AUUGAACGCUGGCGGCAUGCCUUACACAUGCAAGUCGAACGGCAGCACGGGGGCAACCCUGGUGGCGAGUGGCGAACGGGUGAGUAAUACAUCGGAACGUGCCCAGUAGUGGGGGAUAGCCCGGCGAAAGCCGGAUUAAUACCGCAUACGACCUACGGGUGAAAGCGGGGGAUCGCAAGACCUCGCGCUAUUGGAGCGGCCGAUGUCAGAUUAGGUUGUUGGUGGGGUAAAAGCCUACCAAGCCGACGAUCUGUAGCUGGUCUGAGAGGACGACCAGCCACACUGGGACUGAGACACGGCCCAGACUCCUACGGGAGGCAGCAGUGGGGAAUUUUGGACAAUGGGCGCAAGCCUGAUCCAGCCAUGCCGCGUGCGGGAAGAAGGCCU